This 450-nucleotide ribosomal RNA is filed under the name Triticum aestivum (bread wheat). RNAcentral's name for it is "partial small subunit ribosomal RNA". Lineage: Eukaryota; Viridiplantae; Streptophyta; Magnoliopsida; Poales; Poaceae. The record is from RNAcentral.
AUGUCACAUUCUACAGCAUACAGGGGGAGGAAGCACUACACAAGUCAAAAUAUACUUGCUGCUGUUGACUUUGAUCUGGAGUUCACAUAUGUGCUGGCUGGCUGGGAGGGGUCGGCGCAUGAUGGUAACAUUCUCAGUGACAACAUGAGUCGACCUGAUGGGAUCAACAUCCCCGACGACAAGUUCUACCUUGGAGAUGUUGACUAUGCAUGUCGGCUGGGUAUUCUUCCACCCUCCAGGAAAACCAGAUACCAUCUCAAGGAGUUCUGUGGUAGGAACUAUCCUAGGAGUGCACAGGAGCUGUUUAAUCUCAGACACUCCAGUCUUAGAGUAACUGUUGAGAGGACAUUUGGAGAUCUGAAGAAUAGGUUUAAAAUCAUGGAUCAAAAGCCAUUCCACCCAUACUCCACUCAGGUUAAGCUUGUUCUUGCUUUGUUGCAUUCUGCAUAA